GGUGAGGGGAGCAAGACAGGAGGCCGCUCCAUUGAAGAUUCUCACAGACCGUCCUCUGCUCUGGGUGAAAUCAAGCUGAUUACCUCAGUCAGACCCUGGAGCAGGCGCCUUGUGGCUGACUGACACCCUGCGUAAGCUGUCUGCCUCCAGACAGAGAACAACAACUCAGCUGAGAGCAGCCCCGGCAGGGUUUCCAGCCUGCGCGCCUGUCUCCGACAGACCAGGCCACGCUGAAAGGGUGAGCCCCACGGAUGUCAUCAAAACAGCGGAUUAGAAAUGCAAACCUAUGCUUUCAACUCUUCUUUCUAAAAGGCCCAGGGCUCCACCAGAAAGCACUACUGGCAUCAAGGAGAGCAUCAUCUCCAGACUGCAGCAGAGAUAAAACAAUCUCACAGGAGGAUUUCAAAGGGGUGACAACCAUCUGCUGCCUCCCCAGGCUGACCUUGAACUUGUGAUCUUCCUGCCUCAACCACCUGAGUAGCUGAGAGUAUAUGCAUGUGCCACAGCACCCAGCUGUUUUCUUUCUCAGCACCAGAAGUCGAACUCAGGACCUUGCACUUGCCAGGUCGUGGUGGACGGGACACCAGAGGAGACCGGAGCUCGUUCUCAGGCCGAGGCCUCCCACCACCCCCAGCACCAAGUGUCAUCUGGUGUCCCCUGCAGCUUUGCCAGAGCCCCGGAUUCUCACGGGUCUCACUUACUGUCUUGCUGCAGGCACUAGAGGAGGUGGACACAAACUUUCUGUUGUUUUUGAAGGGGACAUUGUCACAUGUUGUCACACUAACUGAGCUCCCAAGGUUGUUAGCAAAAUCCAUGGCUGGACCCGGGCCACUGAAGUUAGAGCUGGGGCAGGCAUUUUUUAGUGGAAAAAGAAUGCACUUUAGGGGCUGGGGAUUUAGCUCAGUGGUUUCACCGCCCGCUGAGCAAGCGCAAGGACCCGAGUUCGAUCCCGAUACCAAAAAAAAAAAAAAAAC
Heterocephalus glaber (naked mole-rat) is the source of this 974-nucleotide long non-coding RNA. The record is from Ensembl. Lineage: Eukaryota; Metazoa; Chordata; Mammalia; Rodentia; Bathyergidae.